RNAcentral lists this ribosomal RNA (1346 nucleotides) under uncultured bacterium. RNAcentral's name for it is "bacterial SSU rRNA". It matches the Rfam family "Bacterial small subunit ribosomal RNA", at positions 28 to 1381 of the family's 1533-position model. The record is from RNAcentral.
GACGAACGCUGGCGGCGUGCUUAACACAUGCAAGUCGAACGGAAAGGCCCUGCUUUUGUGGGGUGCUCGAGUGGCGAACGGGUGAGUAACACGUGAGUAACCUGCCCUUGACUUUGGGAUAACUUCAGGAAACUGGGGCUAAUACCGGAUAGGAGCUCCUGCUGCAUGGUGGGGGUUGGAAAGUUUCGGCGGUUGGGGAUGGACUCGCGGCUUAUCAGCUUGUUGGUGGGGUAGUGGCUUACCAAGGCUUUGACGGGUAGCCGGCCUGAGAGGGUGACCGGCCACAUUGGGACUGAGAUACGGCCCAGACUCCUACGGGAGGCAGCAGUGGGGAAUAUUGCACAAUGGGCGGAAGCCCGAUGCAGCAACGCCGCGUGCGGGAUGACGGCCUUCGGGUUGUAAACCGCUUUCGCCUGUGACGAAGCGUGAGUGACGGUAAUGGGUAAAGAAGCACCGGCUAACUACGUGCCAGCAGCCGCGGUGAUACGUAGGGUGCGAGCGUUGUCCGGAUUUAUUGGGCGUAAAGGGCUCGUAGGUGGUUGAUCGCGUCGGAAGUGUAAUCUUGGGGCUUAACCCUGAGCGUGCUUUCGAUACGGGUUGACUUGAGGAAGGUAGGGGAGAAUGGAAUUCCUGGUGGAGCGGUGGAAUGCGCAGAUAUCAGGAGGAACACCAGUGGCGAAGGCGGUUCUCUGGGCCUUUCCUGACGCUGAGGAGCGAAAGCGUGGGGAGCGAACAGGCUUAGAUACCCUGGUAGUCCACGCUGUAAACGGUGGGUACUAGGUGUGGGGUCCAUUCCACGGGUUCCGUGCCGUAGCUAACGCUUUAAGUACCCCGCCUGGGGAGUACGGCCGCAAGGCUAAAACUCAAAGGAAUUGACGGGGCCCCGCACAAGCGGCGGAGCAUGCGGAUUAAUUCGAUGCAACGCGUAGAACCUUACCUGGGUUUGACAUGGAUCGGGAGUGCUCAGAGAUGGGUGUGCCUCUUUUGGGGUCGGUUCACAGGUGGUGCAUGCCUGUCGUCAGCUCGUGUCGUGAGAUGUUGGGUUAAGUCCCGCAACGAGCGCAACCCUUGUUCACUGUUGCCAGCACGUUAUGGUGGGGACUCAGUGGAGACCGCCGGGGUCAACUCGGAGGAAGGUGGGGAUGACGUCAAGUCCUCAUGCCCCUUAUGUCCAGGGCUUCACGCAUGCUACAAUGGCUGGUACAGAGAGUGGCGAGCCUGUGAGGGUGAGCGAAUCUCGGAAAGCCGGUCUCAGUUCGGAUUGGGGUCUGCAACUCGACCUCAUGAAGUCGGAGUCGCUAGUAAUCGCAGAUCAGCAACGCUGCGGUGAAUACGUUCCCGGGGCU